GCGCCCGUAGCUCAGUUAGGAUAGAGCGCUGGCCUGCGGAGCCAGAGGUCCUGGGUUCAAAUCCCAGCGGGCGCGCCA
RNAcentral lists this transfer RNA (78 nucleotides) under bacterium. RNAcentral describes it as "tRNA-Arg". It matches the Rfam family "tRNA". From Rfam's summary of the family: Transfer RNA (tRNA) molecules are approximately 80 nucleotides in length. Their secondary structure includes four short double-helical elements and three loops (D, anti-codon, and T loops). The record is from RNAcentral. RNAcentral also lists the same sequence under 2 other names.